Molecule: ribosomal RNA, 313 nt
Filed under: uncultured soil bacterium
Lineage: Bacteria
Description: bacterial SSU rRNA
Rfam family: Bacterial small subunit ribosomal RNA
Source: RNAcentral
AGAUUGAACGCUGGCGGCAGGCCUAACACAUGCAAGUCGAGCGGUAGAGAGGUGCUUGCAUCUCUUGAGAGCGGCGGACGGGUGAGUAAUGCCUAGGAAUCUGCCUAGUGGUGGGGGAUAACGUUCGGAAACGGACGCUAAUACCGCAUACGUCCUACGGGAGAAAGCGGGGGACCUUCGGGCCUCGCGCCAUUAGAUGAGCCUAGGUCGGAUUAGCUAGUUGGUGAGGUAAUGGCUCACCAAGGCGACGAUCCGUAACUGGUCUGAGAGGAUGAUCAGUCACACUGGAACUGAGACACGGUCCAGACUCCGU